This 253-nucleotide ribosomal RNA is filed under the name uncultured bacterium. Its description in RNAcentral is "partial 16S ribosomal RNA". It matches the Rfam family "Bacterial small subunit ribosomal RNA", at positions 524 to 776 of the family's 1533-position model. The record is from RNAcentral.
UACGUAGGGUGCGAGCGUUGUCCGGAAUUAUUGGGCGUAAAGGGCUCGUAGGCGGUCUGUCACGUCGAAAGUGAAAACUCAGGGCUCAACCCUGAGCCUGCUUCCGAUACGGGCAGACUAGAGGUAUGCAGGGGAGAAUGGAAUUCCUGGUGUAGCGGUGAAAUGCGCAGAUAUCGGGAAGAACACCCGUGGCGAAGGCGGCUCUCUGGGACGGUACUGACGCUGAGACGCGAAAGCGUGGGGAGCGAACAGG